UACGAAGGGUGCAAGCGUUAAUCGGAAUUACUGGGCGUAAAGCGUGCGUAGGCGGUUGGCUAAGUCAGAUGUGAAAGCCCUGGGCUCAACCUGGGAAUGGCAUUUGAAACUGGCUGGCUAGAGUGCGGUAGAGGAUGGCGGAAUUCCCGGUGUAGCGGUGAAAUGCGCAGAUAUCAGGAAGAACACCCGUGGCGAAGGCGGCUCUCUGGGACGGUACUGACGCUGAGACGCGAAAGCGUGGGGAGCGAACAGG
Molecule: ribosomal RNA, 253 nt
Filed under: uncultured bacterium
Lineage: Bacteria
Description: partial 16S ribosomal RNA
Rfam family: Bacterial small subunit ribosomal RNA
Source: RNAcentral